UCUGUCAAUGGUUCUGAACCUGUUCCUGCCUCAUCUGUAUAAUUUGACUGCUUUCACAUCUCUGAUUUGGGACCAGCAUACAAGGUGAAAACAAACAACAACCAACAAAACCCUUAUUAUCUCACGUGGAGGACAAAUGUCAAAGGAUACCUAAGAAAACCUAAUGAAAAGAAAAAAUACAUAGAGGAGAAGAGGGGACAAAAAGUUCAGAAGAAUGUUACACUCAGCCCUAGUAGGGCAUUGAGGGGAUCCAAAGCCAAGCGGGAGGAAUCUUGAAACUGAUGGCCAUCCUGCUGGGGAGAAUGACAUGCCAGCUGAGUAUCUGAUUCUGAAUAUACACACAUCUAACCUUCAGGAACCAUGAUAGGCACACAGAGCUCUCAAAGAAGUCCAUUUAAAGAAAGAAGAGGAGACACAUCACCCUUCACUCUGAGAUUCCAAUAAAAAUAGCGAGAG
Molecule: long non-coding RNA, 456 nt
Organism: Zalophus californianus (California sea lion)
Lineage: Eukaryota; Metazoa; Chordata; Mammalia; Carnivora; Otariidae
Exons: 4
Source: RefSeq, a predicted model, not a curated record